Molecule: long non-coding RNA, 860 nt
Organism: Canis lupus familiaris (dog)
Lineage: Eukaryota; Metazoa; Chordata; Mammalia; Carnivora; Canidae
Exons: 4
Source: RefSeq, a predicted model, not a curated record
AGUACCCCUACUGAGAUAAAAUCAGCCCAGAUAGCCAAAGAUUCGAGAGUAAACAAAUAUACAAUAGCAGGUAUGCUCUUGGAAUCAUUUGGGGACAUUUUGGAAACAAAGAAUAAUUCUGCUGCUGGAAACUCCAUCAAAAAUAGGGAUCAUAUGGAAGGCAAGUGUAUCUAGAACGAAAGAAACCCUAGAACAAUUCCGAGGACUUGGUCUGUCUCCAGAUGGAUGGAAGAAAGAAAAUUCUGCAAUCUUUCAGUCUUUCAGGGCUCAGAAGCCAAGCAGCCCAACACAGAGACUGCAGAGAAAGGCCUGCUGAGCUGGGAAAGUGGUUGUAUGUCAGGAGUACAACGUGGGUCUCACUGGACUGUAACCAAGGUGUCGACAAGGCUGCAUUCCAUUCUGGAAGUUCUAGUGGAAACUCACUUAAGGUAUUUAAUAAGAUGCAUAUUCAUGUCUAAGGAUGUUUAAGACCUUGACUGUGUUCUCAAUAUCAUCAACCACUGCACAAAAAAGAAAUCAAUAAAGGAAUCAGUGCUGAUAGAUCAGACCAACAGAGGAGCUUCACACCCGGAUCUCAAGCAAGUAGAAGCUGGAGAAGUGGCUGAUAAAGGCCUUUGAAGAGCCACCUGAGUAACAGUGCUCCCUUGAGAUGGAGACAAGCUAUAAAGAUGAAAAUAAUAUCAAAGCAAUGAAACACUGUAAAACAGGACUAUCUGUAUGCUUAAAAUAAUCUAAUCAACUUUGUCAAUGGGCAUUCCACAUCUAUAGUGUAUGUCCCAAAAGCAAAGCUAAUGUAUGUGUGUAUUUUACACAGCAACAAGCCUAUUGUCAAUACUGCACCAAUAAAUUAUAAUAGCUUA